AUACAUAAAAGUCUCAGACAAGAAGCAAUCUAAAUGCAAAACAAAUAUUGCAAGGUACCCUAAAACCAAAUAUACAUUACUGUAUGUUCUAAAUUCCCUAUGUGUGUUUAUAGUGGAAGGACUAUUAUUAUGAAUGUGUGCCGCUAGUUUAUGUGAGUUCCGCUAUUCCGGUUUCACUUUCAUUUUCAAUAGCCGAUUGCUCCGCCAUUUCCAUCAGGUGUUAAUGUGCGUGAUUGAAUAAAGACCACAUUUAACACUUUGUGGCCAUAACUUGUACAAUAUCCAGUCUAAUUGGAGCAAUGUUGUGCCAUCUGCUGUGAACCCUAAAAUACUUCAGAUAAAGAGUUGAACAGUG
This is a long non-coding RNA of Carassius gibelio (silver crucian carp), 355 nucleotides long. RefSeq lists it as uncharacterized. Lineage: Eukaryota; Metazoa; Chordata; Actinopteri; Cypriniformes; Cyprinidae. The record is from RefSeq and is a predicted model, not a curated record. The transcript is spliced from 2 exons.